GGGAAAGUCAUAGCUCAGUGGUAGAGCAUCCGUCUUGCAUGCAGAAGGUCCCAGGUUCAAUCAUCGGCAUCCCCA
This is a non-coding RNA of Podarcis lilfordi (Lilford's wall lizard), 75 nucleotides long. Lineage: Eukaryota; Metazoa; Chordata; Lepidosauria; Squamata; Lacertidae. The record is from the annotation of a GenBank genome assembly.